This 1771-nucleotide long non-coding RNA is filed under the name Chinchilla lanigera (long-tailed chinchilla). RNAcentral describes it as "lncRNA (ENSCLAG00000025971.1)". Lineage: Eukaryota; Metazoa; Chordata; Mammalia; Rodentia; Chinchillidae. The record is from RNAcentral.
AACCUACUCACAGGGUCAUUAUUAUGUCCCUAAAACUCCGUUUCUAAAAAGACUUCUGAAGACCUUACUACUUUCCACAGAAGAGGAGCUAUAAAUUUCAGCUGCUCCUAUAUCCUCAUCUGGUGUAGUAAAUCAGCAACAGUAGGUGUCUCCUAUCUAGGAGAUGCCCUGAUUUGGAGUACCAAUUAUGAAUCUGGACAAGGCUCAGAGAAAAGGAAGCUGGAUCAGCUGGUCUCCAAAUUCAUCCCUAAAGAGUCAAGGCUACUAGGUCCCUACCACAGAUCUGGUCCUGCUCGUUGUGGUCAUUGGGUAAAGUCCUCAAUAAAAAAGAAGAAUCUAUAUGGGUCUGUUUCUUCUGAUGGCCUUGGGAAUGGUGCUAGGCAACUGAAACUGGGAUUUGGAUCCUUGCCUCAGAGAACAUGAAUAGCUGCUACAAUUUCCUUAUCUAUUUAUUUAAUCUUGCUAGAUUGUGUUUAUUUUUGAAAACUGCCUCAAAUCCCUUUGUGAGAAAAACAAGAUAUGUAUGCAUGGAUGAAAGAAUAUAGAACCAUGAUGAAAAUGAGAGGUAAGUAAGCCCUAUACCCAGGGAUGCCAAAGCUCUCCCACGCAGUGAGUUAUCACAAUGCCUGAAAUCUAACCACCAGAGGUACUUCUGUGAGAUGAGCAGGAUCAAAAGGAGCACAUUUUCUCCCACAACUCUGGUAGUUUAUGAUUGUACUUUCAAGUACUUUGUAAACUUAAACCUCUUUAUAAACCAGGAGAAUUGUAAUGUUAAUGGAAAUGAGUUCAAGUCAAGUAAUGGAUUAAUCUGGAUUAGAAGACUGUUUUCAUGGAAGUCAGAAUGAAAGAAGUUGGCACAAGGGGGCAAAAGAUACAUAAGUCACAAAAGCAAGGGAAGUGAUGCUUCAGGAAAGGAAUGGGACCCACUGUGCAACCUGGCUGGGUAGAGCAAGCCGUGGUGUAAUGAGUAAUGAGGCCAUUCAGGGAAGAAGACCACCUCUCCCACAGGAGACUAAAUAAAUCCUAAGGAGUGUGGCCCAGCAGCCAGAUGAACCAGGGUAAUUCCCCCUUCUGCCACACACACUGCCGGAGCUGUAUGAUCUUCAUCAAGUGACCACCUUUCCGUGCCACUUUCCCAUUCAUGAAAUGGAGAAUAUAGUAGAAUGAUUCUCCUAAGCAACAGUGGGGACUGAAUAAAUUGAUGUAAGAAUUUAGAGUAAUGCCUGACACACAGUAAUCACCACAUUGAUUAAAUGAAACACGUGGGAAUCAAAAGGUGAUCUAGGUAAGGACUGGGUAUCAUGGAGGUUGCAAAAUGCCUGUGAUUUUGACUUUCAUCUGUGUUUGUUUCUCCGUUUUAAGAAACAUAUACCUAAGGCAGAAGUGUAAGGAAAAGAAAUAUUAAAAGUGGGGAGUUCGGUGAAGCACAGGGUGCAAAAAUUCAGUGGUGGGGGAAAGAGGGAAGUUUAGAAAGUGUUUUAAGAAAAAAAAUUUGAUGACAGAGUGAUAAGGGUAAUCUUUUGUUUUUGCUGUUUAGAGGAACAGGUAAGAUAGUCCUUGAAUGCUGCGAAUUGUUAUUACUCAAGUACAGGUUCCUGAUGAUUGUGGGAAAGUGUCCUGGCCUGUGGUGAGCACAGGUGCUGAAUGGACGAUGAUGGACACUUAUAAUGAGUGACUAGAGGCAGCACCUGGCCUUUGAGGACAUAGGUUCUUUUCUGUUUCUGCCCAACAGGAAUAUGAUGAGAAUCACAGAUGUAACUUAAAAGUUUCU